Molecule: long non-coding RNA, 896 nt
Organism: Scylla paramamosain (green mud crab)
Lineage: Eukaryota; Metazoa; Arthropoda; Malacostraca; Decapoda; Portunidae
Exons: 4
Source: RefSeq, a predicted model, not a curated record
GAGAGGCUCAGUUUGUGAGUAGCUGUGGUGUGGUGAGAGGUGGAGCUGCUAGCUCUUCUUUGGCUCACUUUCUCUCAGUUGUCUUAAUUUCUAUACUUCCCUUUCUAUUUUUUUCUUAGUCUCCUCGGUCUACCGAUCCUUAUUUUUUUUUCCCAUUCUACUAGUUUCUUCCUCAUUGUAUUACCUCCGCUUUGUCCUCCCCCACCCCCACUUCCGUGUCACGGCCACACGCUCCUCAACACAGCCCCGCCGUCGUCCCCAGUCAGACCGCUGGAGCUGCAGGCUGUGUUUGACUGCGUGUGUUUUGUUGUCGUCCUGUCCACCAUCGUCAUCCUCCUCCUCCACUGCUGUUCCUGUCAGUAUCCCACCCCAACCUCUGAUGCUGCCGCCACCACCACCAUUACUGCUGCUGGAGGUCUGGAGUACUCUUCAGACAAAUAGUUUGUAUGGCAGAGUAAAUUCCAUCAUGCCGCAGAUUUGUGUCAAACAAGUGAGAAUGAAAAAUGACGCUCCUUCCUCCACUUUUUUAUGGACUUCCCAUAGCAACAAGAACAAGACUGCCUGCCCUCUGACACGUCUUGGUGUCCUCCAUCUCUAAGUUACUCGCAAUACUGCUGAGUUCUCACCCGCUGAAUGCCACAAGCCUUCGUCCUCCCAGAGUUUUCGUACUGAAAGCAUCGCCAGACAUUCGUGGGCUAUCAUCCCCAUCUUUGCAUCUUGCCUCUCUGAUCCUGCUCGGUGCUUACAACCACCCUAGGGUUGGAGACAGCGAGACGGCAUCUGGGAAACGAGAGAUCCUUCCUUAGUCCUGGAAGACGGAGCACCUUAACGUUGAGCAAGCAAGAGUUCAGCGAAUAACUGAACUCUCAGAGAAUUUUGUGAAUUACUACUGUAAA